GCAUAUCAAUAAGCGGAGGAAAAGAAACUAACAAGGAUUCCCCUAGUAGCGGCGAGCGAAGCGGGAAGAGCUCAAAUUUAUAAUCUGGCACCUUCGGUGUCCGAGUUGUAAUCUCUAGAAGUGUUUUCCGCGUUGGACCGCACACAAGUCUGUUGGAAUACAGCGGCAUAGUGGUGAAACCCCCGUAUAUGGUGCGGACGCCCAGCGCUUUGUGAUACACUUUCAAUGAGUCGAGUUGUUUGGGAAUGCAGCUCAAAUUGGGUGGUAAAUUCCAUCUAAAGCUAAAUAUUGGCGAGAGACCGAUAGCGAACAAGUACCGUGAGGGAAAGAUGAAAAGCACUUUGGAAAGAGAGUUAACAGUACGUGAAAUUGUUGGAAGGGAAACGCUUGAAGUCAGACUUGCUUGCCGGAGCUUGCUUCGGUUUGCAGGCCAGCAUCAGUUUUCCGGGGUGGAUAAUGACGGUUUGAAGGUAGCAGUCUCGGCUGUGUUAUAGCUUUCCGUUGGAUACAUCCUGGGGGACUGAGGAACGCAGCGUGCUUUUUGCGAAAGACUCGUC
This 557-nucleotide ribosomal RNA is filed under the name Rhodotorula glutinis. RNAcentral describes it as "partial large subunit ribosomal RNA". It matches the Rfam family "Eukaryotic large subunit ribosomal RNA", at positions 38 to 599 of the family's 3401-position model. The record is from RNAcentral. Lineage: Eukaryota; Fungi; Basidiomycota; Microbotryomycetes; Sporidiobolales; Sporidiobolaceae.